This 85-nucleotide transfer RNA is filed under the name Felis catus (domestic cat). It matches the Rfam family "tRNA". From Rfam's summary of the family: Transfer RNA (tRNA) molecules are approximately 80 nucleotides in length. Their secondary structure includes four short double-helical elements and three loops (D, anti-codon, and T loops). Further hydrogen bonds mediate the characteristic L-shaped molecular structure. tRNAs have two regions of fundamental functional importance: the anti-codon, which is responsible for specific mRNA codon recognition, and the 3' end, to which the tRNAs corresponding amino acid is attached (by aminoacyl-tRNA synthetases). tRNAs cope with the degeneracy of the genetic code in two manners: having more than one tRNA (with a specific anti-codon) for a particular amino acid; and 'wobble' base-pairing, i.e. permitting non-standard base-pairing at the 3rd anti-codon position. The record is from Rfam by way of RNAcentral. Lineage: Eukaryota; Metazoa; Chordata; Mammalia; Carnivora; Felidae.
ACCUGAGUGGCUCAGUUGGUUAAGCAUCUGACUUCAGCUCAGGUCAUGAUCUCGCAAUUCGUGAGUUCAAGCCCCACAUCGGGCU